RNAcentral lists this long non-coding RNA (27470 nucleotides) under Capsicum annuum. Its description in RNAcentral is "long non-coding RNA (CANN_LNC009244)". Lineage: Eukaryota; Viridiplantae; Streptophyta; Magnoliopsida; Solanales; Solanaceae. The record is from RNAcentral.
UUUUACCAAAAAAAGAUAUAAAAGCACUCUCUUCUUUCUUCACUUGCAACUAUUUAACACUGCAUCUAACAGUUAAGUAGUUGCUGAAAAUGGCUUCAAAGUCUGGAUUAGAAGAGCUAAACUUUGUUUUGAUACCUUUACUUGUUGCAAGUCACAUCAUACCCGUAGUGGACAUGGCCAAAUUGUUAGCACAGAGAGGCGUGACAGUCACUUUAGUCAUGACACCUCUUAAUGCUAUCCGAUUUACUGCAGUAAUUCAUCGUGCCAUCGGUUCUGGACUCUUUAUUCGGAUACUUGAACUCCAAUUCCCAGCCAAGGAAGCGGGGUUGCCAGAGGGAUAUGAAAGCGCGGAUGUUCUGCCUGAUACGGCUCAUCGAAGAAAUUUCUUUACUGCAAUUGAUAUGCUACGAGACGAAGCUGAAAAAUUACUUGCUGAGAUGAAGCCUAAGCCGAGUUGCAUUAUUUCCGAUAUGUAUAUUGCUUGGACUGCUGAGACAGCUGAUAAGUUUCAAAUUCCAAGGAUCAUUUUUGAUGGAACGAGCUGUUUCAACCAAUUAUGUAUGCAUAAUUUGUACAUCAUGAAGGAUCAAAACAAAAUUCCUGAAUCAGGGCCUUUUGUCAUCUCUGAUUUGCCUGAUAGAAUUGAAGUAACCAAAGUUCAGCUGCCUGGAGCAUUCAAUCCUCCACCAACCCUUUGCGUGCAAGAUAUUCGAGACAAAAUCCGAGUAGCUGAAACAAGAGCCUAUGGGGUUUUAAUCAAUACUUUCGAGGAGUUGGAACAAAGGUACGUUGAUAAAUUCCGAAAACUUAAAGAUGGUAGAGUUUGGUGUAUUGGACCUUUGUCCCUUUGUAACAAUGACACUGUAGAUAAAACGCAGAGAGGUAAUAGGGUUUCAUUUGACAAAGAAGACUGUUUGAAGAAAUGGCUUGAUUCUUGGCAGCCUGAGUCUGUUGUGUAUGCAUGUUUUGGAAGCCUUAGCCAUACCACAGUUGACCAAUUUGUGGAGCUGGCUUUAGGCCUAGAAGCAACAGGUUAUCCAUUCAUUUUAGUCGUAAAAUCAGGGGAAAGACAAGCACCAAUAGAGAACUGGAUAUCAGAAAAUGGAUUUGAAGAAAGAACAAAAGAAAGAGGGCUUUUGAUCCGUGGCUGGGCACCACAAGUACUAAUUCUAUCGCACACUGCAAUUGGUGGGUUCUUGACUCAUUGUGGUUGGAAUUCGAUCCUUGAGGGGAUUAGUGUUGGUCUGCCUAUGAUCACAUGGCCUCUAUUCGCAGAGCAGUUCUUAAAUGAGAGAUUCUUAGUAAACGUAUUGAAGACGGGCGUGAGUGUCGGAUCGCAGCAAGUUGUGAAUUUCGGUGAGGAAGAGAAGUACGAGGUCCAAGUGCGUAAGGCAGAAAUAACGAAAGCAAUAAGUACAGCGAUGGACAAGGAGAAAGAAGGAAAAGAGAGGAGAAAAAGAGCCAAAGAAGUUGGAGAAAUGGCAAAAAGAGCUAUAGGAGGUGGAUCUUCUCACCUCAGUUUGACACUUCUAAUCAAAGACGUACAAGAAUUCCAACAUAACCAAUCAGUUUAAAAUGAAUAUGCACAAGUAUGCAACGUACUACUUUGAUUAGAAAAGAUUAUAAGCAUUAAUUUCUUUUCCUGUUUGCACUUUUGUCUAUGAACAUGAGGUGCCCGAAUAAAACAGGAAACUACUGUAGAUUUACGACUUUAGCCCAGACCCAAACUGUCUGCAAUUUAAUGUGCAGAUCAGUGCACAAAAAUUUUCACUAUACACGAGGUCCAAGAAAGGCCGACAGUCUGCAAUUUAUGUCCCCAAACAUUGUAUAUGAAUUGCAAAUUUCCUAUUUCUCAGAACAUGUUAGGUCGUUGGAUUAACUUGACUUUGCCAGUUUCAAUUUUUAACAAUGAGUUAUAUAUAGUUUAAUUGAGUGACUGACAACUGUAUUGCCACAAAAAAAGGAACUGUUGUCUCAUUAGGUGCCUCACCAAUGGGUAUUCUAAUUGAGUAAAUUUCACACGAAAGUCAAUUUUUUUUCGCUUAAUCAGGCACAUGUCAUCCAAAAUAGGGUUCGAGGUGGGGGAGAUAGUUGCUAGUGCUUGUAUUAGGGUAGAUUAUUUAUUUUACGUUCCUUGGGGUAUAACCUUUCUUCAAACCCUCCUAAUGCGGUAUGUAGUAUGCACCGAUCUACCCAUUUUUAUAAAAAUCAUCCAAAAUAAAAGUUUUCAUACAAAAAAUACUUUUUUGAAAUAUUUUUUUUUUACACAGUCAAAAUUAUCCAACUUGAAGUGUAUCUGACAAAAGUCACUUUUUCAUUGAACGAUUGAAUUGCGAAUGUCAGCAUCAAUGGCAAGAUAGAUUAGCUACAUGCACACAUGAAACAGAGACUAUGCCACAGCUGGCUGGCUUAUCACAUUAAUUGUCAAGUUGCAUAUAGUCAGAAUUUCUUGAUUACUUUAAUUGCUCAAAGUGCCGUACUGGCCUGCUACACGUAAAGAUGCAAAUAAUUUAGUGCAUAUUAAUUUAAUGCAAAUUAAUCCCUUACAUCAUAAUCUUAACAAAUGCUAGAUUUUAUGUUUCAAUAAAUUUUGAAACAAAUACAUUGGUGAAAGAUUUUUUAAGAGUUAUAUUUCAAUUGGUUUUAAAACAAAUGCAUCACUUAAAAUUUUAAGAUAAAUUCGUUAUUCAUAAGUGUUGAGUUACAAAGAAAAUAUAUUUAAUAAAUUCAUUAUUCAAUAAGUUUUAUGUUAUAGGUUCUUGAAAGAAUAAUAUUUUUUGUUUUAAAACAUACAUGAACUUAUUAACUAUUACUUAAUUAAUAUGCUUCUCAUGCAUGAAACUUUCAUCCUAUAAAUAGUGUUUUCUUUGGUUUGAAAAGACAAGCACUCAAAAUUACUUUUCCCUUGAAAACAUUAGAGAAACAUUAAUCAAAUGGUGAAAUCACCAAUUCAAGAAUAGAAGAACAACAUUCUUGAAUGCUACUUGUUUUGUGGCUUAGUUGAAUCCCAAAGAUAGAGUUGUCACUUAUUCUUCCGUUUGCUCAUGGGAGAGACUCCAACUAUCUUCAAGAAGCGUAUUAUCGUGCCUCUAAGCCAAGCAAGUUUUAUUUUGAAUUUCUUGUACAAUUAUCAUUAUUGUUCUAACAAUUUGAAGAUACUUCUCUCUGUGGCUUCUACAUCAAUAUCAAAUAGUAUUCCAUCUUUACCUAAUCCUAAUUUUGAAAUAUUUGAUGGCAAAGACUUUCCUAGAUGGCGUGAAAAGAUGGAAUUCUUUUUAAAACGAUUAAAGUUGGCAUAUGUUCUUGAAGAACCUUGCCCUAAUACUCCUGGUUCUGAGGUAGCAUCUGACGAGGCUACUUUGAUUAAAGAACAAAUUGCCAAAUGGCAAUAUGAUGAUUAUUUGUGCGAGAAUUAUAUUCUUGGAGGAAUGUCUAACAAAUAGUAUGAUCAAUAUUAUGUUAAAUGCAAAUAUGCUAAAGAGAUAUGGGGCGCUCUUCAAGCUAUUUAAUUAGCUGAAGAGGCGAGUUCUAAGAAAUUUCUCGUUUCAAAUUAUAUGGAGUUCAAAAUGGUUGAUGACAAGUCAAUUACUGAACAAGUACAAGAAUUCCAACUUAUAGCUAAUAAAAUUGGUAUAGCUGGAAUUGCGCUUGAUGAAAACUUUCAUGUUGGUGCUAUUGUAUCAAAACUUCCUCCAUCUUGGAAAGAGUACCGAAGUAAACUCUUACACAAAAAGGAAGAUUUGACUCUUGAACAAUUGUUGCAACACUUGCAAAUUGAACAAGAGACACAAUGGCGCGAUAAUAAUAGUUUGAAGGAACCUGUCAUGAAAGCUCAUAUGGUUGAAGAAAAAUCAAACAAGAAGAAACCUGAAAAUAAGAAUUUUUCAAAGGCAAAGAAGACUACAACAAUUUUAAAUCUGGUGAAUGCUAUCAUUGUCAUAAAGUUGGUCACUAUACGCGUGAUUGUAGAAUUCUCAAAGACGAAAAGAAGAAAGAAAAAGCAAAUAAAAAUAAAAAAGAUGAUCUUGUGGCAAUGGUCACAGAAGUAUUUGUAGCGGAAGAUCAAGUGGAAUGGUGGAUAGAUACUGGCGCAACUCGUCAUAUAUCAGGUAACCAAAAUUCUUUCAAUACUUAUGAAUUAGUGGGGGAUGGUAAAACUGUAUAUAUGGGAAAAUCCUCCUCUACUAAAGUUGUGGGAAAAGGAACUAUUGUACUGAAGUUUACUUUCGAAAAGAUAGUUACAUUGAUGGACGUAUUGCAUGUUCCUGAUAUUCGAAAGAACUUGGUGUCAGGUACGCUUCUUUCGAAGCAUGGUUUUGAAAUAUUUUUUUAGGCAGAUAAGUUUAUUUUAUCUAAAAAUGGCAUGUUUGUUGGAAAAGGUUAUGUUGCAAAUGGAAUGUUUAAACUCAAUAUUGAAAAUAAAAAUAUUUCUGCUUAUCUUGUGGAGUCUCUGGACUUAUGGCAUGAACGUCUGGGACAUUUGAAUUUCAGAUCCAUUCAACUUAUGGUAAAUAAUAGAUUAAUCAAAGAUUGUGGAAAGAAUCAUACUACUAAGUGUCUUACUUGUAGUAAAUGCAAGAUUACUAAAAAGCCCUUUAAGAUAGUUGAAAGGACUUCCACACUCUUACAAUUAAUCCACACUGAUAUUUGUGAGAUGGAUUAUUUAUCACGUCAUGAAAAGAGGUAUUUUAUCACUUUUAUUGAUGACUACUCAAGAUAUACUUAUGUCUUUCCAUUGAAAACAAAAGAUGAAACAUUUGAGACUUUCAAAACAUAUAAAGCAAAAGUUAAAAAUAAAUUGAGUGUGAAAAUUAAGUCAAUUAGGUCUGAUUGAGGUGGAGAGUACUUAAAGUCAGAUUUUAUUGAUUUUUGUGAGAGACAAGGCAUUGAAAAAUAAUUGACCAUGACCUAUACACCAUAGUAAAGUGGUGUAGCAGAAAGAAAAAAUAGGACUUUCAUAGAAAUGGUUAAUUCUAUGUUUUAUGGAUCUGGUAUAUUUGAAAAUUUGUGGACUGAAGCCUUGCUUUCAACAUGUCAUAUUUUGAAUAGAAUUACUUCUAGGAAUCAUGAUGCAUCUCCAUAUGAACUUUGGAAUAAUUGAAAACCAAAUAUAAAUUAUUUUAAAGUAUGGGGUUGCUUGGCGCAUGUUCGAUUACCAAAUCAACAUUUAACCAAGAUUGGUCAUAGAGGAGUAGAUUGUGUGUUUAUUGGUUAUUCACAAACCAGUAAGGCUUAUAGAUUUUUAAAUCUUGAGACCCCAAGUCCUCACACAAUUAUUGAAUCUUUACAUACUAACUUUUUUGAGCAUAUAUAUCCCAAGAAAAAAAAUUCUCUUGAACAAGAUUCAAGUUCUUCUAUUCCUCCUCUUAAAAGGAAAAUAGUUGAGCCAUUGGAAGAAAGUCAACCAAGACGUAGUUCAAGAUCAGUGAAAUCAAAAAAAUUUGGACCUGAUUUUCAAGCUUAUUUGGUUGAAAAGGAUCCUGAAAGUUAUGCUGAAGCUAUGUCUUCACAUGAUGCUCUAUUUUGGCGUGAAGCCAUUGAUGAUGAAAUGCAUUCUAUAUUAUCUAAUAAUACAUGGAUAUUGUUAGAUCUUCCUCCUGGAUGUAAACCAAUUGGUUGCCGAUGAAUUUUUAGGAAGAAAAUGAAAUCCGAUGGUACUUUAGAUAAGUACAAAGCCCGUUUGGUAGCUAAAGGCUUUACUGAAUUGAAAGAUAUUGAUUAUUUUGAUACUUUUACACCUGUAGCUCGGAUGACCUCUAUUCAUCUCUUGAUUGCUCUAGUAGCAAUUCAUGGUCUUGUGAUUUAGCAGAUGGAUGUGAAAACUGCAUUCCUGAAUGGAGAUCUAGACGAAGAAGUCUACAUGAAACAACCAGAAGGAUUUGUCAAUCCUGGUCAAGAACGUAAAGUUUGUAAACUUCUUAAAUCUCUUUAUUGAUUAAAACAAGCUCCAAAACAAUGGCAUGAUAAUUUAGAAAAGUUAUGAUUUCUAAUGGCUACUUAAUCAAUGGUGGAGAUAUCUGCAUAUUUAGUAAAUUUCAAGAAAAUUCUGGUGUUAGAAUAUGUCUUUAUAUAGAUGACAUAUUGAUCUUUGGAACUGAUAUCGAAAGAGUCAAAGAAACAAAAUAUUUUCUUGCUUCUCAGUUUGAAAUGAAAGAUCUGGGAGAAGCUGAUGUAAUUUUAGGGAUCGAAAUUGUAAGAUCGGCAAGUGAUUUGACUCUUACUCAAUCAAGUUAUAUUGAGAAGGUUCUAAAGAGGUUUGGUCAUUUUGACGACAAGCCUGCUCCUACACCAUUUGAUCCUAGCAUCAAAUUAGUACGAAACUCUGGUGAUAUUGUUGAUUAAUUGACAUAUUCUCAAAUUGUUGGGAGUCUUAUGUAUGUCAUGCAUUGUACCAGGCCAGAUAUUGGUUAUGCUGUAGGAACUUUGAGUAAGUUUACUAGUAGCCCUGAAGUUUAGCAUUGGAAUGCCUUAAUUCGUGUUUUAAGGUAUCUGAAGGGUACAAUUAAUGUUGGCCUGCAUUAUUCUACCUUUGCAGCAGUUCUUGAAGGCUAUAGUGAUUCUACUUGGAAUUCUGAUCCGAAUGAAUCUAAAUCUAUUACUGCUUUGAUUUUUACUUUGGCUGGAGUAGCAAUAUCUUGGAGAUCAAAUAAGAAGACAUAUAUUACUCACUCAACCAUGGAGUCAGAAUUUAUCGCUAUGUCUUCUGCUGGAGAAGAAGCUGAUUAGCUAUGAAGUAUGCAGAUAGAUAUUCCAUUAUGGGGUAAGCCAAUACCACAUUUGACUAUAUAUUGUGAUAAUAAAGCUGCUAUAUUUCGGGUUUCAAGUGAUUGUUACAAUGGCAAAUCAAGACAAGUUUGUCUCAAACACAAUCAUGUGAGAAUAUUAUUGGAGGAUGGCAUAAUAUCGCUUCAAUAUGUGAAGUCCAAACUCAAUUUAGCAGAUCUUUGUCUAAAGGGUUAGGCAAGGAAUUGGUAGUACAAACUUAUAAUGGGAUGGGAAUGAAGCCUAUGGUAGAUUGAUUGUACUUUAUGGUAAUCCUACCUAAUGAUGUAAUCUUAGGUUCAAAGGGAAAAACAAGUAAAGUUACAAUUGUGAAGCACAUCAAUAAAAUUUCUUUUUUCCCUAGAAAGUGAGUAGAUGUUCAUAAGUUGAUAUUUAUUCUCUUGAUAAAUCUAUAAGACCGAUAUCGGUUGGAGUAAAUAAUAACACUCUUGAUAGAUUUGACAGUAUUCCUACAAAAGAAAAGAAUGAGAUUAUAUUCUCUUAUUAAGUCUAUACACUGAUUUCGGUUGGAGUGUGUAGGAACACUCUUGAUAGAUUUAUUGAUACUUUGUUGUAAAGGAGGAUGAGAUUAAUUUCUCUUAAUGAAAUUCAUAGACUACUUAGUCGGAGUAUGCAAAGUUACUCUUCAUGAAUUCACCGCACUAAGUGCGAAGUGGAGGCCGCUUCAAUAAGAUUUUUACAGGGAAAUCUUAAAACACUUAGCUAAAAGGAUUCGAGACACAUGGCCGUAAGGUGUCAGAGAAUUUUGAUUUUCACCGGAAAAUAGAAAUAUGCGUGGAGCAUUUUUCUACUUCAUUCAAUGAACCACUUAGUUCAAGAUUUGUUCACUAAGUAGUCAAUGAUUUAGAAAGUCUUCACUAGCUAAUGGUUCAAGUCCAAAAGACACCAUUAUUGAUGUAUGUUGCUAGAUUGAUGUCUCAAAUGAAUUUUGUUUUUUAAAGAUAAAAUUUCUUGAAACAAGUGGGGGAUUGUUGAUUUUAUGUUUCAAUAAAUUUUGAAACAAAUACAUCGGUUAAAGAUUUUUUAAGAGUUAUAUUUUAAUUAGUUUUGAAAUAGAACCAUUACUUAAAGUUUUGAGUUACAAAGGAAAUGAAUUUGAUAAAUUCAUUAUUCAUAAGUUUUGAGUUACAAAGAAAAUGUAUUUGAUAAAUUCAUUAUUCAUUAAGUUUUAUGUUAUAGGUUCUUGAAAGAAUAACAUUUUUUGUUUUAAAACAUACAUGAACCUAUUAACUGUUACUUAAUUAAUGUGCUUCUCAUGCAUGAAGCUUUCAUCCUAUAAAUAGUGUUUUCUUUGGUUUGAAAAGACAAGCACUCAAAACUACUUUCCCCUUGAAAACACUAGAGAGACAUUGAUCAAAUAGUGAAAUCACCAAUUCAAGAAUAGAAGAACAACAUUCUUGAAUGCUACUUGUUUUGUGGCUUAGUUGAAUCCCGAAGAUAGAGUUGUCACUUGUUCUUCCAUUUGCUCAUGGGAGAGACUUCAACUAUCUUCAAGAAGCGUAUUAUUGUGCCUCUAAGCCAAACAAGUUUUAUUUUGAAUUUAUUGUACAAUUAUCAUUAUUGGUCUAACAACAAAUGCCAACACUACUUAUAAAUAGAUAAAAGCACCUUUCUGAAUCAUCUAACACAACUACUUCCAGUUUAGUUCAUACUAAAAGUAAUUUCAGAGUCAGGAUUAGAAGAGCUAAGCUUUGUAUUGAUACCUUUACUUGCUGCAAGUCACAUCAUACCCAUGGUGGACAUGGCCAAAUUGUUAGUACAGAGAGGCUUGACAGUCACUUUAGUCAUAACGCCCCUCAACGCAAUACGUUUCACUGCAGGGAUUGAUCGUGCCAUAGGUCCUGGAUUCCUCAUUCGGGUACUAGAACUCCAGUUUCCAGCCAAGGAAGCGGGACUGCCAGAGGGAUGUGAAAGCGCGUAUGUUCUUCCCGCUCUAUCCUUUCGAAGGAAUUUCUUUGCUGUAAUUGAUAUGCUACAAGAUCGAGCUGAAAAUUUCCUUCAAGAGAUGAAGCCUAAGCCAAGUUGCAUUAUCUGCGAUAAGCGUAUCGCUUGGACAGCUGAGACAACUGAUAAGUUUCAGAUUUCAAGAAUUAUUUUUGAUGGAAUGAGUUGCUUCACUCAAUUAUGCAUGCAUAAUUUGAAUAUCAUGAAGGAUCAAAACGAAAUUCCUGAAUCGGGGCCUUUUGUCAUCCCUGAUUUGCCAGAUAGAAUUGAAGUAACCAAAGCUAUACUGCCUAGAGCAUUCAAUCCAGGAACGCUUUGCAUACAAGAUAUUCGAGACAAAAUACGAGCAGCUGAAACAAGAGCCUAUGGGGUUGUAAUCAAUACUUUUGAGGAGUUGGAACCGAGGUACGUUGAUGAAUUCAGAAAACUUAAAGAUGGUAGACUUUGGUGUAUUGGACCUUUGUCUCUCUGUAACAAUGACAAUCUAGAUAAAUCUCAGAGAGGGAAUAAAGCAUCAUUUGACAAAGAAGACUUUGAAGAAAUGUCUUGAUUCUUGGCAGCCUGAGUUUGUCGUGUAUGCAUGUCUUGGGAGCCUUAGUCGUAUUAUAAUCGAACAAUUUGUGGAGCUAGCUUUAGGCCUGGAAGCAUCAGGCUGUCCAUUCAUUUUAGUCAUAAAAGCAGGUGAAGGACAAGCACCAAUAGAGGACUGGAUAUCGAAAAAUGGAUUUGAGCAAAGAACAAAUGGAAGAUGGUUUUUCAUUCGUGGUUGGGCACCACAAUUACUAAUUCUAUCACACCUUGAGGUUGGAGAGUUCCUGACUCACUGUGGUUGGAAUUCAACCCUUGAGGGGAUUGCUUCUGUCGUAUCUAUGUUCACUUGGCCAUUAUUUUCUGAUCAGUUUCUGAACGAGAGAUUCUUAGUACAUGUCUUGAAAACGGGUGCGAGUGUUGGAUCUCAAGGAGUUAUGCAUUUGGGAGAGGAAGAGAAACUUGAGUCCAAGUGAACAAAGAAAAAGUGACUAAAGCCAUAAAAGAAGUGAUAGAGAAAGAGAAAGAGAAAGAAGGAAAUGAUCGGAGAAAAAGAGCCAAAGAACUUGGACAAAUUGCAAAAAAGACACUAGAAAGUGAUGGAUCUUCUCAUCUCAGUUUGACUCUUCUAAUCAAAGAAAUACAAGAAUUCCAACUCAACAAAUCUUAAACUGGAAAUACUAGGGAAUGUAUUUCAUCCAAACCCCAUCGGCGAAAGAUUACACUAUCUAUACAUGGUCAAAAUUAACCUUUGAAGCUGAUUCCAACAGAUGAGUAAUAUGUUGCAACAGAUAAUUAACCUGUUGCGACAGAUGACUUACCUGUUGCAACAAACGAUGAUUUGUUGGAAUCAAAGUCAGGUUCUAUCGAACAGGUUACUAAUAUGUUGCAACAGAUAUUUGUCGUCUGUUGGAAUUGAGUUCAGGUUCUGUUGCAACAGGUUAGUAAUCUGUUGCAAUAGAUAUUUAUCCUGUUGCAAUAGACAACACGUCUGUUGGAAUUAAGUUUAGGUUCUGUUGCAACAGGUUAGUAAUCUGUUGCUGUCACGACCCAAACUAGGGCCUGGCCGUGACGAUCAUUUCAAACCAUGGAGGCCCGCAACACCCCUAUCUAUCUGGAAAUUAUGCACUUAAUUCAUAUGAUCAAAGUAAUGCGGAAGAAACACAAUAAUUUAGAAACAUGGUCAUAAAUAUGAAAAGAAACAAUAACGGGGAGGUAAGGUUCCCUCAACAUCAAUUAACCUCUAAAUAUCUGUCUACGAAAAUCUCUAACAAAUGACUGAGUUAAGUAACCGUAUAUAAACUGGGACAAGGCCCCCAGUAGACCCCAAAACUGAAUAUAAGAUAAAAGGACUGCAGGACAUAAGACCUUCCGAAAGAUAGAAGGCUCACCACUUGUCUCUGCAACUCUGUCUGACUGAUCUACUGAUUUUCUUGACCCCUAGACUGGGCCUCUAAACCUGAGAGGUUGGAGAGGGAAGAGGGUCAGCACAAAAGUACUAGCAUGCAGAGAUAUAAAAACAAAACAUAAUAUUUUUACAAAAUAUAGCUGAGAGCCAUUAUAAAGCAAUUUCGUAUCAAAUCAUUUGAAAACACAUGGGUGUAAUGCAAUAGUUUCUCAACAACAAUGAAAUGCAACUGAGCUAGGUGGAAUAACCUACAUAAUUUACACCAACUGUCUAACCUCGGUUGCCGUCGAUAUUAGAGUAUAAGUGAGGGAGAGAUACUCAAGACCACAAAGCAUGGUAUCUCGACCCACUGGUAGUGCCCAAGAUUACUUAGCCCAGGAUCCUACCUAUAGUACCAAUUUGUGAAUGACAUGAAGUCAAGUACACAAGAUCACUUAGCCUGGUACCAAUAUUCCGUGUCGGCAAACACGUUUUUCAGCGAUGAGCCCUUACUCUCAAACGCCUUCUUCGGGCAUCCACCUUUCUCAUGUAAAAUCAAUGCCCAUUGAAGUAUAUAGGCAAACAAUUCCCAUGACAUAAAGAAAACGACUUAAAAAUCGUAUUGAAAGCAAGAUAUUAGCAUUUGAUUGAAAACCCCCAUUUAAAAGCAUGCAUGUUCAUAAAAACUACACCCAUGAGAUUUUAGGAUAACCCCACGUACCUCUAUUUCCAAGGAUAAUAGAUGUUUCUUGAAGCUUGGGGAUUGGUGAUUCCAAAUAUGUAAUUAUCUUUGAAAAUCUACGAUCGAAUCUUGAACUAUUUGGGUUUUUAUUUUGAAACCCUAAGGAGAAUCUUUGAGCACUUUUGAUGAAUGAAGGUAUAUUUUGGGGUCCUUGGAACAGAAUUUCGUGUUUUAGGGCUAAGUAAGGGUGAAAAAGGACCACUUUAUCCCCAAAACGGAGUGUUUAAGUCAUUAGAAUUCUUUACAUAGGCGCUACCCAUCCCAUUGCCUAUGUUCACAUAGGCGCCGCCUAGGCUAUCGCCUAUGUUUACAUAGGCGCCGCCUAGGUUAUUGCCUAUGCUUUUCAGUGGCCAUGGGCGAUUGGUUAGGCGACGCAUAUCACUUUGAAAGGCCAUAACUUCUUGCUCGGGUGUCGGAUUUUAGCCAAAUUGGUAUCGUUGGAAAGCUAACUCGAAUACCUAUCAUUUGACACAUAGUAGGCUUCCUAAUUUGACAUAUACAGAGAGUUAUGGUCGAUGGAAGCUGACACACUUUACAACAUCCACUAAAACUUAGUCGAUCGAAAUAGUUUCAACUUGUCCCUGAGUUGAAGGACCUCUAUGGUCUAAAUUCAAGCUUGAAUGGAUUCACAUGAUACACAAAUAAUUAACAUGCCGUAUUGGCAUAGGAUUUUAUAGCUUUGGGAUUAUCAAUGCAUCUAAAUCAUGGUCUUUAUUGUAGCUCGAAAUACGGGGCGUUACUGUUGCAACAGAUAUUGUUGCAAUAGGCAAUACAUCUAUUGGAAUCGAGUUCAGGUUCUGUUGCAAUAGGUUACUAAUCUGUUGUAAUAGAUAUUUAUCAUGUUACACCAGAUAACUAAUCUGUUGUAAUAGAUGAGUCAUAUGUUGCAACAGAUGACCCAUCCGUUCAAUUCAUAUUACGGCUUAUAGAACCAUAAACAUAAAUCCAACAUAUCAGUCUUCCGUUUAAACAAAUGUCUCAUCUGUCACAACAAAUAAUUUAUCUGUUAAACAAAUGACUCUUAUAUUAGAUUCAUGAUCAGGUUCUAUCCAUUGUUGAAAAAACAACACAAUAGUAGUUACCCAGAUGACAAAUUCAACUAAAAAUCAUAAUUUAACUUACCAAACUUGUCACAACCCAACUUUCCAAGUCAUGAUGGAGCCUACCAUAACCCACCAGUAGGCAAGCCAACCUAUAGUCCAGAAUGGCUAGUAAUGGACUACUCAAUAACAUAAAGAAAAAAAUACGAAAUGUAUGAGACAAAGAUCAAUACAUAGACGAAUCCCAAAACCUGGUGGUAUCGGUACAAGAGCUUCUAAACAUAAUAAGAGUACAAAAGUGAUAUAUUAAGAAGAAAUACACUAAUUCAACUUAUGUUUGAAUACAACUUAGAGGCUAAUCUAAUACAUAAGAGAGAGAUACGUUAUACUCUGAAUGCCAGGAGCUCACUCUAAGUCUCCGAAUCAGGGAUACUCCACAAGAUGCACAUAUCAAUGGAGAUAACUCGUACUAUAAUCUGUAGGCUGCGGAGGUGUAGUAUGAGUACCAAACGAAUGGUAUUUAGUAGGCAACUGCCAACUGAGCUCCAAAGAUAAAGUAGAUAUGAUAUAUACAACAUAUAAAUAGAAUGAAAUCUAUAACCAAGAGUCCAUUAAUCAUGUAAUAAGUCAAUGAGAAUACCAAGGGACAACUAUCCUAUUCAUGUCCAAGAGUCUAACAUAAUAAGACUAAGGAAGUAUCAAGGUGAACUAUCAUAUUCUAGCUACAUUCAAUAUAUGUAGAGAGAAAGAAAGAUAUAUUGUAAUAUACAAGGCAAAGGAACGACUAUACAAUAUGAACAACGAAGAAAGGGAUAUCCGAUAGUACCAUGACUUCAUAUAGCUAUAUAUAUAAUACAUAUAAAUAGGAGGUCAUCUCAAACAUAACCUACAUCGCCAUGUUCUCAUUUUAAGACCUCAUUAUAAUACUAUCGGGGAUUCAAUACCAACAUACUCAGGAUUUCUAAUCCAUAUGGAUAGACAUAGAAUAAUCGUGCAUAGUAAUGUAAUCAUAAGAUAGCAAAGGCCGAAGACAUACCUCAAUCCCAAUACCGGAUCCAUGACCAAUCUGUCAUAGGCUAGCCAUAAUAAUGAUCAUAACAAUAAUAAUAACAAUAUCAAUAACAUCGUAAAUAAUCAGCUAAUCCGGACAACCAAAUACCUAGCCGAGCCUAUGUGUACCCCUACCACCCCAGACUCGAAAGGUUCAAUCAACAUAUAAUAACACAAGACAUAUUCUUCACCCAUAUCUAUGUAACUGUCCCAUACCGGUUGAUAGACAUAGGUGCAUACUGGUGAUAGGCGAUGCACAUAUAGGAAUGAAUGCAAAGUAUACCAUCAAUAUCACAACUCAUAAUAACUAUCCUCAUCAGUACCAUCAUCAUCAUAAUCAACCUCCGGCCUUGCCGGGAAUCAAUAUCAUCUCAAAGUAUUCUCCAAACUCAAACCGGGUAUCAAUAUCAUCAUAAUAUCCUCCGUCCUUACCGGUAAUCAUUAUCAUCUUAAUGGUAUCCUCCGGACUCAAACUGGGUAUCAAUAUCAUCAUAAUAUCCUCUGGCCUUGUCAGGAAUCAAUAUCAUCUUAAUAGUAUUCUCCAGACUCAAAUCGGAUAUCAAUAUCAUCAUAAUAUCCUCCGACCUUGCCGGGUAUCAGUAUGUCAUCACAAUAUCCUCUGGCCUUGUCAGGUACCAAUAUAUCAUUAUAACUCUCGACACAUAAAUAUAGGCAUAUAAUAGGUGCACAGACACAAGCCGGUAUACUCAUAACCGUAAAGAUGUCUAUCUUAUCAAUACAUCCCAACUAUUUGUUAUUAGCUAACCAACACUUAUUAUUAUUAAAUCGCUAGUUCGCUAGUCAUCACAUAACCUAUAGUUAUUAGCCUAAACAUUAUCCUUCACAUAAUCCUUGUUUAUGGGAUAAUAACUAACCACUAUUCAUUUAAUAGUCAACAUCUAACAUCUAGUCUAGGUUCAUCAUUAGACCAAAAUCAUCAUUUAUCCACCAUUUAUUAUUAUCAACUAUUCAUCCUAUUUUUGUUAAUCAUUACUAGACAACACACUACUACUUAUCACCUAACCAUCUUUUAUUAAAUGACAUCAUUCAUUAACUGACCAUCAUUAGCUACCAUGUUCCAACUAAGCAAGAUUCAUUAACUAAUACAUUAGCUUCCCAGCCAUCAAGUGUAAUAUUCAGCUAAUAGACAACUAGUGACUACAUAGCUUAACCGUCUAACAAGAAGAACAACCAUAAGAUCACAUUUCAGCUAUAAUCAUAUCAUUUAUAAUGGUAAAUAAUCAUGAACAUACCAAAUCUAUGCAUGCCAUCACCAGUAUUCAAUCAAUGGAAUAAUAAGCAUCAUACUGGAUCUUCCUCCGUCCCAUACUGGAGAGAUGUGUAUACAAACAUAUACAUAUUCAUGCUCCAAAUUCUAAAACCAUAUUCCAAGCAUAGAAUUAUAUCAUAUCUAUGCUACAAAUUUGCCCAAACUAGGGAGAAGGCAAUAGAAUUCUACAAGGGUAUUAAGCAAUUCAACCUAUGGGUUAAAACCCCCAUCUAAUCCCCAAACUUAUAUGUAGAAUCAAUACUAAUUCCUUCUAUCCAAUAUCAAUCUUAACAUUCACAUUUACACGCAAUAUAUAUCAUACAUCAUCCAUGAAAAAGAGUAGACAGAAGCCUACCUCAAGGCUAAAUCGCAAAAUCACACUCCAAGCACCACAUGCUCAUCUUCACUUCAAAAUCCCCAAAAUUCCAUCACACUAUCAAUAAUAUAAUCUAUUCAUCAAUACGAGUCUAAUGAUAUUCAUAUUGCACUAUUGUGCUUCGGAUCCAAAAACGACACCAAAAACCCCAAGUGGGUUCCACGUAUGGAAAUCGCAUUUCUGAGGUCAACCCAAUGCUCAUACAUCACCAAGAAAUCAUAACCCUCAAUCAAUUGGUGAAAACAAACCAAAUUUAGGGCUAAAUCAAGCCCUAAGCUAAAUUAGAAUUUUUGGUCAAGAGCUAUAAAAUUCACCAAUAAUGUAAUAACCCUUCGGUUCAUUGGCUGUGUUUUACUUAUUUUCAUCGAUAAAGCUCAUCCAUAGCCGUCCCAAGUCAUUAGUGACUUACUUGAACCGAUAUUUUAGUUACUUGACGGUUUGUUUGGUUUAUAGAAUUUUUCGCUCGGCGACCAGUGGAAUCGACGAAGACUCAAAUUGAAAAAAUAUUUUAGGUUCUGAGAUUGUAAAUUCCUCUUGUAAAAUUUAGAAGAUCUUGUAUUAAUACUAUCAGGUCGUGGAAUUUGUGUUUGAAUAUCGGGUGUCCUUAGUUGUAUAAAUAUUGUUAUAUAUUGUGUUUAUACAUAGAGUCCAUGUUGGACAUUCUUACCGAGGUAACCCAUUGCCAUAGCUCCGGAUUACGGUAUUGGAUGACCUAUCAGAGGGAUGUGGUAGGUUCCACCAUGACUCCAAAUGGGGUCGUGAUAAAUUAGUAUCAGAGAUUAGGUUUCACCGAUAUUAUUGAUACAAGAGCAAAUGUCUAAUAGAGACUUGCGGAUCAGAACGUUGACGUCCGUUUCUUAUCUUCGAAAGGCUAUGUGACAUUCUUAGGAUUCUUUUAUUAUUUUCAUUUAUAUCGUGCUAAGAGUCUGAGUUGAUUUGCAGUAUAUUUUCUUAACUUUACUCUUUAACAGAUAUCAAAGAGACGUGUUGCACCUAUGCGAGGUGAGUCCUGAGAUUACUCUUUCAUAGAUGUCGAGGAGGCGUGUUAUCCCUAUACGAGGUGCGAGUCCCGAGAUUAGGCUUGACAAUCCUGCUCCUAUUUGUAGACUACCUAGAGUUUGAGGACAGCCUCUUGAUGUGUCUUUAGCUAAGGGCCAGGAGAGGUCGUCUUCCUCGAGACCUAUCCCUGCACCUGAGCCAGAGAUUCCUCCGCCACAGCCAGUGGUGGGCCAUGGAUCAUCCCAGGCUCCACCAGGUUUUAUUCCUUCUUCAUUGCUCAAGAUUGCCUGGUUAAGAUGCUUAGUAUGGUAGGUGGUGUACCGCCUGAUGGUGCACAUACUUUUGGGAUUGGGGCACAGCCUGCAGCUGCAGCUCCUAGUAUUGAAAUUGCUCCUGUGUCGGUAGUCAUUCAGCCGAUAGCUGUGCCUCCAGUUGUGACCCAGCCUGCUAUGUCUGCCGAUGAGCAGAAGAUAUUUGAUAAAUUUUUUAGGUUGACUCUGCCUAGGUUUUUUGGUGCUCCUAGGGAGGAUGCAUUUGAAUUUCUUACAGCUUGUGAGGAUAGACUUUGUGCUUUAGGCCUUGUCAAGACUCGUGGUGUGGAUUACACCAUAUUUCAAUUGGAUUUGUCUGCUCGUCACUGGUGGAGGGGGUUUGCAGGUUCUAGACCAAUUGGGUUUUCUCCCUUAUCAUGGAAUCAGUUCUCUGAGAUAUUCUUGGAGAAGUAUAUUCUGGUAGUCUUAGAUAUCGACUGAGGGAUCAGUUCUCCAGACUGGAGCAGGGCUCCAUGACAGUCGCCGAGUAUGAGGCUCAUUUUCAUGAGUUGGCCAGACAUGCAACUUUUAUUUUGAAAACUGAGUAUGCGAGGGUUUGAUAAUUUGUCAGAGGGUUGAGACUCCCUAUUCGGAUGGCUACUCAGAGUCUAGUUGUUGUGGGUAGGACUUUUGUGGAGGUUUUUGAUCAUGCUAGAGUGAUGGAGGAGAUGCAUAGAGAGAGUCGUGAGGGCCGUGAUAAGAGGCAUAGAUUCCAGGGUAGAUUUGGUGGGAUUCGUGGUAGUUCCCAAUUAAAGGGUGGUAUUUCUUAUGCUGGACAUCCUCCACAUCCAUCUUUUCAGCCUCAGAGUCAGUCUAGUCGACCAAUUCAGCCAGCUCUUCAGAUCGCUGGUGGGGACAAUUUAUUGUAGUGGUCGCCCUAGUAAGGGCGGUGAUCAAUCUUUGAGAGGUUUAUCUAUGAUCCAUACUAGGCGUGGUAGCUAUGCUAGAUCAACCGGAGUUGUGAGUUCUAUUUUUUCUCGUGAGUCUUGUUUUACUUGUGGUCUUCCUGGUCAUUUAUCGAGAGAGUGCCCUAGUCGUGGGGCGAUUGUUGCUUCAGCCCAGAGAGCUACUCCCAUUAGAGCAGUUCCUCCUUCAGGUAGAGGUAGUUCGCCAGGUCGUAGAGGUGGUUACCAGAGUUCUUGAGGUGGUACUCAGGCAGGCAGGACAAGAGGUCAGUCAGGUGGCGGGCAUGGUCAGUUAUAUGUAGAAACUGCUAGACCCGAGGCUCAAACUUCGAAUGUUGUAGUGACAGGUGCAAUUUUGGUGUGCUGCAAGUCGGCUCUUGCUUUAUUUGAUCCUGGAUCUACUUAUUCUUAUAUAUCUUUUUAUUAUGCACCACGGUUGGAUUGACCGGUGAUUUAUUAUCUGCGCCAUUAUGUGUAUCUACUCCUGUGGGUGAUUCUUUAGUAGUGGAUCGAGUGUUCAGAUCAUGUGUUAUGACAGUUAGUGAUGUAGAUACUUAUGGUGAUUUUAUUAUUCUGGAUAUGCUGGAUUUUGAUGUGAUACUGGGCAUGGAUUGGUUAGCUUACUAUCAUGCGGUCAUGGAUUAUUUUUCCAAGACCGUCACCUUAGCCAUGCUCGGCAUACCCCCAGUCUAUGGCAGGGAGCGGUUAGUUGUGAGCCAACAGGGAUUAUUUCUUAUAUUUAUUUUAGGAGACUUAUAUCAAGAGACUGCAAGUCUUAUCUCGCUUAUAUAUGUGAUACCCGUGUAGAGAGUCCGACACUUGACUCUGUUCCUAUUAUGUGUGAAUUUCUUGAUGUAUUUCCUGAUGAUCUGCCUGGUAUUCCCCCUGACCGUGAGAUUAAGUUUGCUAUUGACCUUAAGCCUGGCACCCGACCUAUUUCUAUGGCACCUUACUGUAUGGCUCCUGCCGAGCUUAAGGAGAUGAAUUCUCAGCUUCAUGAUCUUCUUGGUAAGGGUUUGAUUAGACCAAGUGUGUCCCCAUGGGGAGCUCCUGUCUUGUUUGUAAAGAAGAAGGAUGGUUCGAUGCGUAUGUGUAUUGAUUAUAGGCAGCUUAAUAAAGUGAUGGUGAAGAACCGUUAUCCAAUGCCUCGCAUUGAUGAUUUAUUUGACCAGCUUCAGGGUGCAGUAGUAUUUUCUAAGAUUGACUUGAGAUCUGGGUAUCAUCAGUUGAGGAUUCGGGCUGAGGAUAUCCCAAAAACAGCCUUCAGGACCGGUUAUGGUCACUAUGAGUUCUUGAUGAUAUCUUUUGGGAUGACUAAUGCCCCCACCUCGUUUAUGGACUUAAUGAACCAUGUGUUCAGAUCCUAUUUAGACUCUUUUGUCAUUGUGUUCGUUGAUGAUAUUCUUGUAUUCUCGAGGAGUAGUGAAGAGCAUGCGCAACUCUUGAGGAUUGUGAUCCAGGUUUUGCGAGAGCAUAUGCUUUUUCCCAAAUUCUCCAAGUGCGAGUUUUGGCUUGAGUCGGUAUCUUUUCUCGAACACGUGGUGUCCAAGACGGGUAUUAUGGUAGACCCGACUAAGAUUUUAGCGAUUCGUGAUUGGGCUAGGCCUACGUCUCCGACUGAGGUCUGUAGUUUUAUUGGUUUGCCAGGUUACUAUAGGCGCUUUGUUGAGAGCUUUGAUACUAUAUCAGCCCCUAUGACUAGAUUGACUCGGAAGGAUAUUCCUUUUCGAUGGUCUGAGGAGUGCGAGUUGAGCUUUAGGAAGCUCAAGGAUUGUCUCACUUCUGCCUCUGUGUUAGCUCUUACGGUUGAGGGCGAAGGAUUCUCAGUGUUUUGUGAUGCUUCUGGUGUUGGUCUUGGAUGUAUUUUGAUGCAACAAGGUUGUGUCAUUGCCUAUACUUCUAGACAGCUUAAGGUGCAUGAGCGCAACUACCCCACUCAUGAUUUGGAGUUGGCGGCGGUAGUUUUCACGCUCAAGAUUUGGAGGCAUUACUUGUAUGGUGUGCGUUAUAAGAUUUUCACCGAUCAUGGUAGUCUUCAGCAUCUUAUGACCCAGCGGGAGCUAAAUUCUCGCCAGCGUAGAUGGAUGGAGUUUCUAAAGGAUAAUGAUAUGUCUAUCUUGUAUCAUCCGGGUAAGGCUAAUAUUGUGGCGGAUGCCUUGAGUCGCAAAGCAGUAAGUAUGGGUAUUUUGGCAUGUAUUUCAGUUUCUCAGAGGUCGUUAGCAUGGGAUAUUCAAUCCUUAACCAAUUUGAUUGUUUGCCUCGAUAUUUCGGAUCCAGUGAGAGUUUUGGCUUGUGUAGAGGCGAGGUCUUCCCUGAUUGAGGAAAUUUAUGGUCGUCAGUAUGAGGAUAGAAAAUUGUGAUUUUUUGUGACCAGGUAAUUAAUGGUGAAUCUAGGAGGCACACUGUGGAUUUUGAGGGUAUUCAAAGAUUCCAGGGUCGUAUUUGUGUUCCCCGAGUUGAUGAUCUGAUCCAGUGUAUUCUGCAUGAGGCUCAUAGUUCUAGAUAUUCUAUUCAUCCCAGUACGACUAAGAUGUAUAGAGAUUUGAGGCAGUUUUAUUGGUGGAAUAGUAUGAAGAGAGAUGUGGUAGACUUCGUAGCUCGUUGCUUGUGUUGUCAGCAAGUUAAGGCCGAGCAUCAGCGACCAGAUGGAUUGACUCAGAGAUUGCCCAUUCCCGAGUGGAAAUGGGAAAGGAUCACCAUGGACUUCAUUAGUAGUUUGCCUUGUACUCCCCGUGGUCACGAUGGUAUCUGGGUUGUUGUGGAUCGUUUGACCAAGUCGGCACAUUUUAUUUUUAUAAAGAUGACCUUCAGUGUCGAGAGAUUAGCCUAGAUUUAUGUUCGGGAGAUAGUUCAUUUGCACGAGGUUCCUGUGUCUAUCAUAUCAUAUCAUGGUUCUGUUUUUACUUUGAGGUUUUAGAGAGCAUUCCGGAGGAGUUGGGUACUCGAGUGGAUUUGAGUACAGCUUUUCAUUCGCAGAUGGAUGGUCAGUCCGAGCGGACUAUUCAGGUGCUUAAGGAUAUGCUCCGAGCUUGUGUUAUGGACUUUGGAGGCCAGUGGGAUCAACACUUAGCUUUGACAGAGUUUGCCUACAACAACAAUUAUCAUUUGAGUAUUGAGAUAGCCCAUUAUGAGGCAUUGUAUGGUAGGAGGUGUCGUUCUCCUAUAGGAUAGUUUGAGACAUCCGAGGUUAGACCCCGUGGUACAAAUUUGCUUCAGGACUCGUUAGAUAGAGUUAGGGUGAUUCAAGAUAGGUUGAGAGCCGCCCAGAGUAGGCAGAAGGCCUAUGCCUAUCGUAGACUUUGUACCUUGAGAUUCAGAGUAGGUGAUCGUGUGUUCCUUCGAGUUUUACCUAUGAGAGGUAUAAUGAGGUUUGGAAGGAAGGGUAAGCUUAGCCCUUGCUAUAUUGGUCCUUUUGAGAUUCUUCGCGUAGUUGGCGAGGUGGCCUAUGAGUUGGCUCUACCUCCAGACUUUGCCGCUGUCCAUCCAUUUUUCCAUGUCUCUAUGUCGCGAAAGUAUAUUCUGGAUCCUUCUCAUGUGCUUAGAUGGUACUCGAUCCAAUUGGACGAUCAGUUGACAUUUGUGGAGGAGCCCGUGCUUGUAUUGGCUAGUGAUGUGAGAGGACUGCGUACUAGAGAGAUUCCUGUCGUUAAGGUUCAGUUGAGGCACCGCCCGGUGGAGGAGGCCACUUGGGAGUUAGAGAGAGAGAUGUAAGCCCAGUACCCUCACCUAUUCAAGACUUCAGACACUUGCUUAUCUUUAACUUUCGAGGACGAAAGUUCCUUAGUAGUAAUAACCUUUCGGUUCAUUGGAUGCGUUUUGCUUAUUUUUGUAGAUAGAGCUCCUCCAUAGCUGUCCCAAGUCAUUAGUGACUUGCUGGAAUCGAUAGUUUGGUUACCUGACGGUUCGUUUGGUUUAUAGAACCACUUUUCCAAUUUGAGUCUUCGUCGAUUCCACAUGGUCGUCGAGCGAAAAAUUCUAUAAAAUGACUUCAAAUGCAAAUUUUAACUGCACCAGUAGCUAUAUAAUAUCAAUUUUAGGAUAGAUAUACCCUUGGUUCAAAUCCCACAGCACCCGAGCUCAUUUCUACCUAUUAGUUGAAAAAGGUCAAAAAUCAAAAUAUGUGGGCAUGGGACCAACAAGUGGUAUAAAUGACCUCGGAUGUCGAAUUUAGUUACAUAAUUUAUUUGCGGAAAACGGAGUCUGAAUGAGUUCGAAAGAUCAAAAAUAAUUUUUGACCCUGGGGGCCCAUUUAAAACCGUAUAAAAGGGUUUUUGACAGAUUUUGAGCAUUCUUCACUCCUAUUAGAACCCUAGCAGCCCUAAGGAGAUUGGUAACAAAAAAUGAGUCUCAUGGGUUGAUUAGAAGCUUAACAACUUGUGUAAUUCAUCCUUUUUACUACAAAUCCUAAGUAAGAAUUCUUCAAUUUGAUAUUAAUUUCAUGGUUUCUUGACUUAAAAUCCUAAAUCAUUCUGGGUCAAUUGUAGCCCCAAAAUUAAGUUAUUUACUCAAAUUACUUAGGGGUUUUAACUCCCUAAACAUAAUUAGGCUAUGAAUUGGUCUUGGAAACUCCUUUCCAAGGGUGAAAUCCUAUUGGGGUUUUUGUGUCCAUUUGAAACCUAUGGCACAAUGGUGCUAUAAUGGGUAUUUUCAAUUCUUGUUGUGACGCUUAGGUUGUAUUGUUGAUAGCAUUGCUUGUGGAAGGGAAAGCUUCUCGGAAGGGAAAGAAAAAGCUCUUUGAUUCGUGAGUUCCUUGGAUUCAAGGUAGGUUAAGCUUACCCGUAGUAUAGAUUGAGAUUGUUUGUAAUGUAAUUGUUGAUAUCUUGCGAGAUUGGGCGGGUAAUUUAGACGAUAGUUGAUUAAAUUAUUACAUUUGAGUUUCAAGGUUCCUGCUCCUUCCACUGGUUUGUUUUCCAGUAACAAUGAUUCAGAUAAGCUGAUGCAUUUUACCAUUAAUUAGCACAAAGUAAUUUUUAAAAACUUAGCUACCUCCUUGAUGAAGAACCAGACAGAAAAGCUGCAUACAUAAAUCAACUGUAAGGCUUCAUAUAUAGGUACAUUUGCUAAUAAACAACCAGUAGAAGAGCAGAAAUUUCUCCUUAAUGAAAACCAAUAAAUUCAGUGACAGUUUUAUAUAUUUGUUUGAUUUUUUCCAAGGGUUGUGGUGUCGAAAUACCAAUGCUCUUAGUGCUUGAUAGCGCACACCUGUAUGCUGUAACGUGAGUGCUUGUAAUCUAUGUGGUAAUGUUUGUAAAAAGAAAAAAGGGAGUAAUUUAUGUGUUUCCUUGUUAUAAACAUCUUGUUGCUCAGUUGCCUACUUCUUGGGUUAUAAAAUGUCUUAACUCAUUUAUGCUAUAUAAAAAAAAUAUAAAUACUUUCAUCUGUGAUAAAUUAGAUGUCACUAAUUGGUGUACACGUAAUUUAGAUGUCACUAGUUGUUUUGUCAACCCCUCAAAAGAUUAAUAUUCAUUGCACAUCAGUGAACAUUGAAGCUGACCUGCAGUGGUAGUUUGUGAGAUCUGAUUCUCUUUUCUUGGGUGCCGAACUUGAAUGUCCUAGCCUAAAUAAGACUCUUCCUUAGUCUACUGUAUAAGAACUGUUAGCAUACCUGCUGCGAUAUCAGCUAUAUCAAUUGGUUCAUAGUUUAAGACUCCUCAAAAGUAGGUCGCCUCAGCUAGUGGUUGUUGUAGAUUACUACGCACAUAUUUAGUAGAUAAGAUCUUGCAAAGAACAAAGUCAUUUAAAUGAUGUUGAAUUAUUAAAUAUAUAUAUAUAUAUAUAUAUAUAUGUAUGUAUGUGAAAUUUGAAUUAUUCUUGAAGAUGCAUAUACAAGAACUCGUGAAUGAAAGUAUUGUGGUAGAUAUAUAAUAUGAUUCAAUUCAUAUAGGGAAAAGCUUAGAUGGACCAUAUUAUUUAUAUAGAAAAGGGGAAUAUUUUAGUGAAAAUGGCAUUUGAUUCACAUGAACAACUUUAAGCAGACGCAAUUGACACUCAACAUAAACUGUUGGCAUACUGUAUUGAUGAUAUACACAGACUAUGUACUAUGUACUUGAUCUUACUGUUUAAAGUGUUGGAACUUUAUGCUAGUUGUACUUUUGCAUGCAAAUGUUUACUAUGUCAUCUUCUUUGAGAUUCCACAAAACUUUGUCUGCUGCUCUGCCAAUAGUGAACUAAUGUACAAUAAUGUAAUACCUUGACAAGAGUGAAGUAGUUUGAUUGAUAUCUUCUUACUGGUUUAGUGAUCAUGACUCGAACACCCUUGUUAUGUGAUUAUUAUGCAUGUUUGGUAAAUGCUCAUGCUCUUAUUGAUGCUUAUUUUACGUGUAAAGCUUAUUAGUAAGGUAAAAUGGCAAGUGUUAUUCCCACAUCCCUAUUUCUCUAUAUAUUGUGAGCUUUUGUGCAUGCUUAUUGGUUUGGCUAUGCAUAUGGAUUUAUGUUGUUGUGUUCGGAGGAAUAUGUGAUAUUAUGAUGAUGCCCGGUUCGAGUCCGGAGGAAUAUGUGAUAUUAUAAUAAUGCCCGGUUCGAGUCCGAAAGAAUAUGUGAUAUUAUAAUGAUGCCGGUUCGAGGAGGAAAAUAUGAUAUUAUGAUGAUUGCCGGUUCAAGUUCGGAGGAAUAUGUGAUAUUAUAAUGAUGCCCGGUUCGAGUCCGGAGGAAUAUAUGAUAUUAUGUUGAUGGCCGAUGAAUCCGGAGGAAUAUGUUGAUAUUGUGAUGAUGCCCGGCGAAUCCGAAAGAGGUAAGGACAUUAUGAUGCUGUGUAGAGAAAAUUUACUUAUAUGCAUUGAUAUUUGUAAAGUUAGGCCGUGUGGGGCCAACCGCCUAUGUGAUUGACUUAUGAGGUCUCUUUUUGGUAAAUCGAUGAAGCGUUGUGCUUUAUGUAUUAUUAGUUGUGUUCUUUGGUGUACUCUCCGGUGGUAUGGGACGCCGUGACGAGUUCUUUGUUGUGCUCUCUUUCGUGUACUUUCCGGCGGUAUGGGAUGUCGUGGUAAGUUCUUGUGUUUGUGUUCUAAAGGUGUUGAUGACUAUUAUGGCAAGUAUAUGCCUUGUGAUUGUGUAUAUGGCUUUACGUUUUCUAAAUGAUACUCAGCUGUUAUGGAGAUUAUGAAGUAUAUAGAGAUAGUAUGUCAUGUUAUUGUUUUAGUAGUAUAGAUGUUGUUAUAGUGGUAUCAAAGCAGAUUCAAGUUCGAUCCUAUCCCUUGACUUUAAGAUCAUUGUCUUACUUUAUAUCGUCUUUACAUUAUAUUUGAGCUUAGUCGGCCGAUGAUGCCUACUGAGUACCCCAUGUUUUGGUACUCAUACUACACUUCUGUACCUUUUUAGUGCAGACCCAGGUCCUAGUUGUCGCCGUUGAGCUAGUUCGUGCGAGUAGACUAUUCAGAGAUAGGGUGAGAUCUUGGAGAUCGAGUUGCCCUCUUUCNNNNNNNNNNNNNNNNNNNNNNNNNNNNNNNNNNNNNNNNUCUUUCCCUUAUAUCCUUAUUUGUCUUUUGCUUUCGAGACAAAUGUAUGAGACUAUUUAAGACAUUUAGGUUCUGAGAUUGUAAAUUCCUCUUGUCAAAUUUAGAAGUUCAUGUAUUAAUAUUAUCAAGUCGUGGGAUUUGUGUUUAAAUAUCAGUUGUCCUUAGUUGUAUAAAUAUUUUUAUAUAUUAUGUUUAUACAUAGAGUCCAUGUUGGACGUUCUUACCGAGGUAACCCAUUUCCAUAGCUCCGGGUUAUGAUACGGCUUACCUACCGGAGGGAUGUGGUAGGUGCCAUCAUGACUCUAAAUGGGGUCGUGACAAAUAAAGUGAUAAAUCUUACCUUAAUCCGGAUGAUAAUCAUAAUAAAAGAUGUUUACCAAGCUCCCUAGACACCCACAAGACUUAAUUUUGAGUUAUCAUACCCAUUUAGGGUUUUAGGCUUUCAAAAAUGAGUCAAAAUGGUGAAAAACGCGGCUAUAGGGUGCUUAAAUACCCAUACCAGCUUUGGAGAUCCGCAGUCGCUGUCUAGGCCAUCAGCAAAGUCAAAAACUUAUUUUUAACCCUCGAAACUCAUUCGGAAAUCAAAAUAUAUGAUCCAAUAGUGAAAUUUGAGUGUAAAACACAUUUCAAAUUCAUUGGAAUCAUCAAAACUUUCAUCCAAGAUCAUUUCGAUAAAAAGUGGGUCUCACACCUAUUCAUUCAAAUUUUCAACUUUCCGACCAAUAGGUCGAAAUGAGCUCGGGUGCAUUGGGACCCGAACCAAAGGUCUACCUAAACUAAAAUCGAUAUUCCAAAUCUAUUGGUGUAGUCAGAAUUUACAUAAAGGAUCGUUUCGCUGAAUUUUUCACUCUGUGGCCAUUUGGAACCAGUGAAGACUUUUAAACAAGAAAUUGGCUUUAAAAACCAAACGAACUUCCCGAUAAUUGAACGAUCGGUCCCAGCAAGUCAUAAAUGACUUGGGGCAGCUAUAGAAAAGCUCAAACGGUGAAGGUAAGCAUAAAUAUGGAAAAUGACCUGAAGGGUCAUUACAAAACUCUCCUAUAAAGUGAUGCCAAAGUGUAAAGUGAUGUACGAAACAAAAUUUGACCUAAGAAAUUGGUCAAAUAGCAACAGUAGCAGUAACAACAACAACAACAACAAAUGGUCAAUAAGAAGAAAAUGAAGAUGAUAAUGAAGUAGAAGAUAAUGAUAAUAAAGCAAAAGAUGAUGAAUAAAGCAGCAGCAAUAAUGAACAAGAAAAAUCGCUAAGAGAAAGAAAAAAUAAUGGAUGAGAAGAGAGAGAAAGACGUCUUUUUUUCUCUCCAUUUUUUGUUAUAUUAGGUAAACAUUUAAAUCAAAAUGUAAAUUAAAAACUUUUGGGUUAUUCUCAAAUUUAAUAAUAAAUUAAUUGUCACCUCCAUUCAAUUAUUAAGAAUUGUGUCAACUACACCUUAUUUUAAAACUCUUUUGUCACCUACAACCCAAACCCCCUAGUAAGUCUUGGAGUCUUAACAUAUAAAAUUAAUGGAGAAGUAGGUUUUAAUCACUUGAGGUUAAGGUAGAAUGGAAAAGACGAAAUCACCCCUCUUUCGUAUGGUAUAGGGCUGUUUUGACCGUUCUUAGUAAAAUACUCGUAACUUUUUACUCGGAAUCGGAUUGAUGAGCUAUUGGUGGAAUUGGAAAGAAGACUCAAAAAGCUUUAUUUGAUAGGUUAUAGGUCACAUAACUCUAAAUAUUCUAGGAUAAAUCCUUGUUUAAAUUUGGUCCUUGUAUGAACCUAUACGAAAUCUUAAUCAUUAAAGGACCUUUCAACUCUAAUUUGUUUUAGAGCUUUCUUAUGCAUUUAAUUUAUACCCAAUACCCUAACAUCACAUAAAACAUGACCUUUACACUUAGAUACAAUAAAAUUUCUUGAUUCACGUCUAAGUACAUUUGACCAAUUUGUUUUAUGUUUAGCUUGAACACUCAGGAUGUUACAUCUGUAUUUGUGGAUUAACUAGAAUAGUGGCUCAAAUUGCCGUAAUGGUAGCUAUAAGUGAGGCUACAUGACAAGGACAGAUUCCAGCCUAUGCAGAUUAAUUUAGUGCAGAUGUAAGCCCUUACAUCAUACUUUAGUAAAUAUCUUUUUCGUUCAUUUUGUUCACGAUAUUAAAUAUUGAUGAUCAUUUUUAUUUAUCCACCUGGAGAAAUGAAGAGUUAACUUAUCACUUAAACAUUAAAUUUAUUAUAUUUAAAAAGUGAUAUAACAGAACUGUUAUUCUAUUUAUUUCUCUUCAGAGGUGUGUCAAAUCUAUACCGACGAAAUAAAAAUGAACUGAACGAGUAGUACUAGUUUCUAUAUACCGAUACAAAAACACCUUUUUCUUUCUUCACUAGCAACUAUUUAACACUACAUCUUACAGUUAAGUAGUUACUGAAAAUGGCUUCAAAGUCUGGAUUAGAAGAGCUAAACUUUGUUUUGAUACCUUUACUUGCUGCAAGUCACAUUAUACCCAUGCUGGACAUGGCCAAAUUGUUAGCACAGAGAGGCGUGACAGUCACUUUAGUCAUGACACCUCUUAAUGCUAUCCGAUUUACUGCAGUAAUUCAUCGUGCCAUCGGUUCUGGACUAUGUAUUCGGAUACUUGAACUCCAAUUCCCAGCCAAGGAAGCGGGGUUGCCAGAGGGAUAUGAAAGCGCGGAUGUUCUACCAGAUACAGCUUAUC